CUGGCUCAGAACGAACGCUGGCGGCAGGCCUAACACAUGCAAGUCGAGCGAGAUCUUCGGAUCUAGCGGCGGACGGGUGAGUAACGCGUGGGAAUAUGCCCUUCUCUACGGAAUAGCCUCGGGAAACUGGGAGUAAUACCGUAUACGCCCUUAGGGGGAAAGAUUUAUCGGAGAAGGAUUAGCCCGCGUUGGAUUAGGUAGUUGGUGGGGUAAUGGCCUACCAAGCCUACGAUCCAUAGCUGGUUUGAGAGGAUGAUCAGCCACACUGGGACUGAGACACGGCCCAGACUCCUACGGGAGGCAGCAGUGGGGAAUCUUAGACAAUGGGGGCAACCCUGAUC
Molecule: ribosomal RNA, 341 nt
Filed under: Paracoccus sp. R-28238
Lineage: Bacteria; Pseudomonadati; Pseudomonadota; Alphaproteobacteria; Rhodobacterales; Paracoccaceae
Description: bacterial SSU rRNA
Rfam family: Bacterial small subunit ribosomal RNA
Source: RNAcentral